This 73-nucleotide transfer RNA is filed under the name Mycolicibacterium sp. NCC-Tsukiji. RNAcentral's name for it is "tRNA-Met". RNAcentral also lists the same sequence under 3 other names. Lineage: Bacteria; Bacillati; Actinomycetota; Actinomycetes; Mycobacteriales; Mycobacteriaceae. The record is from RNAcentral.
CGCGCUGCUGCGCGGGCGGCACGUAGCAGCGGUUCAUGCUCGCUGAUAGUGAGGUUGCGUCCCCGUGACGCGG